This 147-nucleotide small RNA is filed under the name uncultured Oliverpabstia sp. Its description in RNAcentral is "Clostridiales-1 RNA". It matches the Rfam family "Clostridiales-1 RNA". The record is from RNAcentral. Lineage: Bacteria; Bacillati; Bacillota; Clostridia; Lachnospirales; Lachnospiraceae.
AGACAAGGGGCAAAAAGUCUGUCAGGGCAUGCUCGCAUGCCAGUGACAGAUUUUGGGGACCGCAAAACAUGAGGAAGAAGCCCGAAUAGGGCGGAUUCCGAAUGUUUUUAGAAUUUCGAGAGUGCGAAGCACGGAGAAAUUCGUAGU